RNAcentral lists this ribosomal RNA (373 nucleotides) under uncultured organism. Its description in RNAcentral is "partial 16S ribosomal RNA". It matches the Rfam family "Bacterial small subunit ribosomal RNA", at positions 527 to 896 of the family's 1533-position model. The record is from RNAcentral.
GAGGGGUGCAAACGUUAUUCGGAAUCAUUGGGCGUAAAGGGUGCGUAGGUGGUAUAUUAAGUCAACUGUUAAAUUUCUCGGCCUAACCGAGAGCCUGCAGUAGAUACUGAUAUACUAGAGGGUGGAAGAGAGAAGUGGAAUUCUCGGAGUAGCGGUAAAAUGCGUAGAUCUCGAGAGGAACACCAAUGGCGAAGGCAGCUUCUUGGUCCAUACCUGACACUGAGGCACGAAAGCGUGGGGAGCAAACAGGGAUUAGAUACCCUGGUAGUCCACGCCGUAAACGAUGAUCACUAGACGUUAGUUCCGUUUUACGGGAUUAGUGUCGUAGCUAACGCGAUAAGUGAUCCGCCUGGGGACUACGGUCGCAAGACUA